This 1395-nucleotide ribosomal RNA is filed under the name metagenome. Its description in RNAcentral is "bacterial LSU rRNA". It matches the Rfam family "Bacterial large subunit ribosomal RNA", at positions 1502 to 2925 of the family's 2925-position model. The record is from RNAcentral.
CAAGACCGGUGCAAGCGGGACAGUAGCCAUGCAGGCAAAUCCGUGUGGCAAUACGAAGACGUGACGCGGACCGAAAUAAAGUAGGGAAGCAUGUGAGCCAUGUGCCAAGAAAAGCCGCUAUAGAUCAUACCGUACCCGUACCGUAAACCGACACAGGUAGAUGAGGAGAGAAUCCUAAGGCCGACGGGAGAAGCAUUGUUAAGGAACUCGGCAAAAUGACCCCGUAACUUCGGGAGAAGGGGUGCCCACGCGAGUGGGCCGCAGAGAAUAGGCUCAAGCAACUGUUUAGCAAAAACACAGGUCUAUGCGAAACCGAAAGGUGAGGUAUAUGGGCUGACGCCUGCCCGGUGCUGGAAGGUUAAGAGGAGGAGUCAGGCAACGAAGCUCCGAAUUUAAGCCCCAGUAAACGGCGGCCGUAACAAUAACGGUCCUAAGGUAGCGAAAUUCCUUGUCGGGUAAGUUCCGACCCGCACGAAAGGCGUAAUGAUUUGAGCACUGUCUCGACAAUGCACCCGGUGAAAUUGAAGUACCAGUGAAGAUGCUGGUUACCUGCGCCAGGACGGAAAGACCCCAUGGAGCUUUACUCCAGUUUGAUACUGGGAUUCGAUACUGAAUGUACAGGAUAGGUGGGAGGUUGAGAAGCGUGGACGCCAGUCUGCGGUGAGCCGCUGUUGGGAUACCACCCUUUGAGUAUUGGAUUUCUAACCUGCGCCCGUGACCCGGGCGGGGGACAAUGUCUGACGGGGAGUUUGACUGGGGCGGUCGCCUCCGAAAGGGUAUCGGAGGCGCUCAAAGGUUCCCUCAGAAUGGUUGGAAACCAUUCGCAGAGUGCAAAGGCAGAAGGGAGCUUGACUGUGACACCGACGGGUGGAGCAGGUACGAAAGUAGGACUUAGUGAUCCGGUGGUAUGAAAGUGGGAUUGCCAUCGCUCAACGGAUAAAAGCUACCCUGGGAUAACAGGCUUAUCACUCCCAAGAGUUCACAUCGACGGAGUGGUUUGGCACCUCGAUGUCGGCUCAUCGCAUCCUGGGGCUGUAGCAGGUCCCAAGGGUUGGGCUGUUCGCCCAUUAAAGCGGUACGCGAGCUGGGUUCAGAACGUCGUGAGACAGUUCGGUCCCUAUCCGGCGCAGGCGUAGGAUAUUUGAGAGGAGCUGUCCUUAGUACGAGAGGACCGGGAUGGACAGACCGCUGGUGUAUCUGUUGGUGACCAACACCAUGGCAGAGUAGCCAAGUCUGGCAGGGAUAAACGCUGAAGGCAUCUAAGCGUGAAGCCCCCCUCAAGAUGAGAUAUCCCAAUAAGUAAGACCCCUUAGAGAGUAUGAGGUAGAUAGGCUUAAGGUGUAAGCAUAGUAAUAUGUUCAGCUGAUAAGUACUAAUAGGUCGAGGGCUUAUUAA